AUUGAACGCUGGCGGCAGGCCUAACACAUGCAAGUCGAGCGGAUGAAGGGAGCUUGCUCCUGGAUUCAGCGGCGGACGGGUGAGUAAUGCCUAGGAAUCUGCCUGGUAGUGGGGGAUAACGUCCGGAAACGGGCGCUAAUACCGCAUACGUCCUGAGGGAGAAAGUGGGGGAUCUUCGGACCUCACGCUAUCAGAUGAGCCUAGGUCGGAUUAGCUAGUUGGUGGGGUAAAGGCCUACCAAGGCGACGAUCCGUAACUGGUCUGAGAGGAUGAUCAGUCACACUGGACCUGAGACACGGUCCAAACCCCAAGGGGAGGCAGAGGUGGGAAUAUUGGACAAUGGGCGAAAGCCUGAUCCAGCCAUGCCGCGUGUGUGAAGAAGGUCUUCGGAUUGUAAAGCACUUUAAGUUGGGAGGAAGGGCAGUAAGUUAAUACCUUGCUGUUUUGACGUUACCAACAGAAUAAGCACCGGCUAACUUCGUG
RNAcentral lists this ribosomal RNA (483 nucleotides) under uncultured bacterium. RNAcentral describes it as "partial 16S ribosomal RNA". It matches the Rfam family "Bacterial small subunit ribosomal RNA", at positions 30 to 507 of the family's 1533-position model. The record is from RNAcentral.